Molecule: transfer RNA, 77 nt
Filed under: Veillonellaceae bacterium
Lineage: Bacteria; Bacillati; Bacillota; Negativicutes; Veillonellales; Veillonellaceae
Description: tRNA-Met
Rfam family: tRNA
About the family: Transfer RNA (tRNA) molecules are approximately 80 nucleotides in length. Their secondary structure includes four short double-helical elements and three loops (D, anti-codon, and T loops). Further hydrogen bonds mediate the characteristic L-shaped molecular structure. tRNAs have two regions of fundamental functional importance: the anti-codon, which is responsible for specific mRNA codon recognition, and the 3' end, to which the tRNAs corresponding amino acid is attached (by aminoacyl-tRNA synthetases). tRNAs cope with the degeneracy of the genetic code in two manners: having more than one tRNA (with a specific anti-codon) for a particular amino acid; and 'wobble' base-pairing, i.e. permitting non-standard base-pairing at the 3rd anti-codon position.
Source: RNAcentral
GGCGGCGUAGCUCAGUUGGCUAGAGCAAGCGGUUCAUACCCGCUGUGUCCGCGGUUCAAAUCCGUGCGCCGCCACCA